AUGAACGCUGGCGGCGUGCUUAACACAUGCAAGUCGAACGAAGCACCUCUAAUCGAAGAUUGAGAAAGCUUGCUUUGAUUGAUUCACCUUGAGGUGACUGAGUGGCGGACGGGCGAGUAACGCGUGGGUAACCUACCCUAUACAGGGGGAUAACAGUUGGAAACGACUGCUAAUACCGCAUAAGCGCACAGGACCGCAUGGUCUAGUGUGAAAAACUCCGGUGGUAUAGGAUGGACCCGCGUCUGAUUAGCUAGUUGGUGAGGUAACGGCUCACCAAGGCGACGAUCAGUAGCCGACCUGAGAGGGUGACCGGCCACAUUGGGACUGAGACACGGCCCAAACUCCUACGGGAGGCAGCAGUGGGGAAUAUUGCACAAUGGGCGAAAGCCUGAUGCCAGCGACGCCGCGUGAACGAAGAAGUAUUUCGGUAUGUAAAGUUCUAUCAGCAGGGAAGAAAAAUGACGGUACCUGACUAAGAAGCUCCGGCUAAAUACGUGCCAGCAGCCGC
RNAcentral lists this ribosomal RNA (508 nucleotides) under uncultured bacterium. Its description in RNAcentral is "bacterial SSU rRNA". It matches the Rfam family "Bacterial small subunit ribosomal RNA", at positions 29 to 518 of the family's 1533-position model. The record is from RNAcentral.